UUUGCUCUGUUAUUUAUGUAGGUCUACAACAAGCUUUGAGGAUGCAAUUAUGGGAAGCAUGGGUCAAGUUGCGAAAGAAAUGAAUGAGCCCUGGAUGUUGGUAGGGGAUUUCAAUGUAAUUUUGUGUAGUGAGGAAUGCAGAGGGGGUUCAGAAUCCCACAGAGCAGACUUUAAUCAUUUCAAUUCCUUUGUUUUUGAACAUGGUCUUUAUGAUAUGGGUUUUUAUGGGCCGUUUUUCAUAUUGAAUAGAGGGAAUCUUUUUCAACAUUUGGAUCGAGGCCUUUGUAAUGACCAAUGGCAAUCCUUCACACCAAAUUUAGAGGGUGCGACACUUGCAUAAGCUUAAAUUGGACCAUCGUCCGAUACUUUAUCGAUCGAUAAGGCGAAAAUGGGGAGAGAAGAUAGACUAUUUCGUUUCCUCACUAGCUGGCUGAUACACCUAGAGUUCAAGGAUAGGGUGAAAUAAUUAUGGUAAAAAAAUGAUGGAGUUGGGAAUUUGGAGAAUUUUACCCAAUCAGUCUAAAAUUAGAAUAAAAUGGUGUUUGGAAAUAUUUUUUCUAAGAAAAGAUGAGCUAUACGAGAAUUAGAAAGGGUAUAAAGAGCUUUAGAAAGGCGGAAUAUGACAAGGCUUAGAAAUCAAGAAGCAGUUGUUCGUUUUGGGAAUAGAGCAUCUAGGAUAUCUAAUUGAAGCUGCUAUGGAGGAGGGAGUUAGGAACCUCUUUUUCUCUCUCGACUGGGACCAGGUAUUUCACAUCUUUUCUUUGCAGAUGAUCUGGUUCUCUUUUGCAAAGCUGAUUGGAAAAAUGUAGAGUACCUCCAACAUGUUCUAAUGACUUUCUAUCAUUUUUCUGGACAUCGGGUUAAUCGUCAAAAGACCCAGGUUUUUUUCUUAAACAAUGUUACAUAGGAAGAAUCAACUAAUUUAUGUAACAGUCUUGGAUUUACAAAGGUAAAGGAUCUGGGUAUGUUUUAGGUGUUCCUUUCUUUCACAAUCGAGUUGGUAUUGGGAAGUUUCAAUUCAACUUGGAUAAAGUUUGCACUCGACUUAAUGGAUGAGAGGCACAGAAACUAUCUCUGGCAGAUCGUCUAACAUUGGUUAAUGUUACUUGCUAUUCCAAAUUAUUUCUUGUCAAGAACAAGAAUUCCUAGCUCAGUUUGUAAUGCAAUUGAAAAACUAGCUCGUGGAUUUUUAUGGGGUUCAACAUCUUGUAUGUGGAAACUGUCACUUGUGAGUUGGGAGGAUUGCUGCAAACCUCGGGCGUAUAGGGGGAUAGGUAUUUAGAGAUUACAAGACCAAAAAAAACUUUUUCUCAUGAAGUUGGGGUUUAAACUAGUUACUAGUAUAGAGGAGUUGUGGGUUUAGGUCUUGAGAAAGAAGUAUAAAGUGCAUGGAUUACUGCCAAUGGACAUUCAUCGUACUGGCUGCUCCUAUAAAUGGCGUUUUAUAGCCAACAUAUGGAGUGAGGUGAAAAAGGGUAUAUAUUGGGUUGUUGGUGAUGGUAGGCUAGUGAAUUUAUGGAAUGAUGAUUGGUUCCGGGACUUGGGUAUUCUAUGACACUAUUACAUUGGUCAUGAGGCCCUUCCAGACUCACUUCGUGAUUGUGAUGUAGUGAUAGAAGAGGCGUGGAAUGUUCAUUGGCUAGCUACGAUUCUUCCACAAGUGAUUGUUGAGCAUAUUUUGUCUUAUAUACCUUUAUCGGCGAAUGCAGACAUGGAUCACUUAAGUUGGAGAUAGUUUUUAGAGGGUUGAAGCUCGGGCACUACUCGAGGGCUUAAAGUUAGCUUGGGCAAAAGGAUACUGCUAAGUGGAGAUCGAGAGCAAUAAUGCUAUACUGAUUUCCGUUAUACAGAAUGGGUUAGCAGCACGCAACAUUUACAGUGAAGUUUGACUUAUACAUGAUUGGUGCUUUAAAGAUUGGAAUGUGACUUUCCGUCAGAUUGUGAGAGACAACAAUAUGGUGGCAAAUCGUCUUGCUAGAGAAGCUCAAGGCGGCAUGAAUGAAUUAUUCAUUCAUGUGAAUCCACUAAUAUAUGUGAGGAACUUACUUGAAGACGUCAUCUGUCGUGCGACGAAAAUUCUACCUGCUGUUGACUAAGUUUAAUGUAAUUAACCUUGACUAAUUUUUCAUAUUUACCAAAAAAAAAUUCAUUCGGAA
Molecule: long non-coding RNA, 2156 nt
Organism: Gossypium arboreum
Lineage: Eukaryota; Viridiplantae; Streptophyta; Magnoliopsida; Malvales; Malvaceae
Exons: 2
Source: RefSeq, a predicted model, not a curated record